AAAAAGAAAAAAAAACAAAAAGGAAAAGGUAAUGAUUACAAUACAUUUUGUAGGGUCACAUGCAGAAUUUAUAAUUAAAAUGUAAUAAUCAAUCAACAUGGUGAACUUCAGGAUCAAACUCAGUAUUUUAUGCCAAAGCUGAAACUUCUUAAUUUUUUCUGUUGCCUCUGAACCAUCAGGAUGGCCAGGGGUCAAAGAAAGGAAAAUUCAGCUGAAGUAAGAGUUGACUUGUGAAUUGGAAGCCCAGGUGCAUCUUGCAAGGCUAGGUUACGGGUUCUGGUGAGUACCAGGAGAGCCUCUGUCCCAAACAUGGAAGGACUUGCAUCCUGGCAGCCCCUGCUCCUGCACCACAGGACAUCUAAGAUGAUUUUUGCAGUGGCUGUUUUUUGCUUUUGUUUUUCCAAAGAAAAGAAGGACAGAACUCUUCAAUCUGUUCAGACUUGCAGUCCAGAAAAGGAAGCUCUUAAUCGGAGAAGAACAAAUGGAUCUGGUUCGAUAUAUGCGACGGUGGGGGCAAGGGAGCUAGAAGAGAGUUGAUGUCAAUGGACAUUUUAAGAUUUGUAGUAAAAGAUGGCUUUUGUGAACUUUGGGCAUUCACAGUUGUUCAUGAGAAACUUUGUUAUUUAUGAUGAGAUGGUCCAUGGUGGACUAUCAGGAAAUGGGAACAUAUGUGUUGGUAAGUAAAAGUAAUUCAAAAUAUAUUCCAAUAUUUUUAGAUGCCUAGCAAUCUGUCUGAAGUCAGAUACCCAGAAUUCUUUGCUUUGGCAUUUUUUUCAGCAUUUGGCAAGAUAUUCUUGAUUUUUUUUUCUUUUUUAACAUGUAUUUAUAUGCAAAAAAUUGUACCGCGGGAAAUAAUCGAAUGGCUACUCUCUUGGUACCAGUCAGAGGGUUCCGCCUGGAGCAAGUAGAUUGGUUGUGUUGAAGAUUUUAUUUAUUGAGGGGCUUGCAUGACUCUGUCAGUUAAAUAACUGAUUCUUGAUUUCAGCUCCGGUCAUGAUCUCAGUGUCCUGAGAUGGAGCUCCACAUCGGGCUGGCUCCCCACUGGGCAUGGAGUCUGCUUGAGAUUCUCUCUCUUCCUCUGCCCCCCCAUAUAAAUAAAUAAACCUUAAAAAAUAAAGAUAAACA
Molecule: long non-coding RNA, 1125 nt
Filed under: Vulpes vulpes (red fox)
Lineage: Eukaryota; Metazoa; Chordata; Mammalia; Carnivora; Canidae
Description: lncRNA (ENSVVUG00000009296.1)
Source: RNAcentral